RNAcentral lists this non-coding RNA (146 nucleotides) under bovine gut metagenome. The record is from RNAcentral.
GCCUUAGCAGUUUUCGAAAAUGCAUACAUUCCCCAGGAACGGACCGCCACGGAUGGCGGGCCGAGCGAACAACGCCACAUGGAUGUGGCGUGUGAGCGGUUCCGGAAGGAAUCAAUAAUUUUGAGCAUUUUCGUAAGAACUGCUAG